UGCCUCACUCAUUAUUUCUCUAGCAUGACUGUCUUUUAGAGUAGAGUACUCCAGAUCUAGUCUUCUCCAUAAACUUCCUGUUAAGGAACAUAGUCUGUUUACCUCUCUCCUGGUCUCCAGAUAGAUCUUCUUCAUACUUUUCAACACUUGUACCAUGGUGGCUUGCAAGUCUUCAUUGGUCAUCUUUCCUCCCGACUUCUCAGAUAAAGUCGGGCUUCCCAAAACAGCUGGUCCUCGUAGGGAGGGGAAAUCUUAUGGAUAAUCUGUCAUUUUUUAUCUUGGUAGACACUAAGGUGGCCCGUAUUCUGUAUUCCACUUGAAGGUUUGCUCCUUCCUCUUUCUUUUUUGCAUAUAAGACUAAUGGUGUCCCACUGGACGUGCCAAAAUUAUGUUCGAGCAAAGCUUUCUCUAGAGAAGAUAUCUAGACCUUAGCAUAGCUCCCCAAGGGAUUAGCACUUUGGAUGUGUAUGUUUAGUAGUCAAACCCUUGCUUGUCUUGUGUGCUGCAAUAAGAGCUUGAAGUUAGUUAUGAAAUGUGCCUUUGUGGGGCCUUAGGUAUAGGCCUUGAGGCUCGCAAUCAAAACUAACUAAAUGCUUAGGCGUGCCACUGCUAUCUCAUUAUAGCAGAUGUAGAACAAAUGUGUUAUGAGUCGAUUACUUACGCCCUAAGUUACUCAAACUUCUUGUUAUCAAAGGAUUGUCAUAUAUGGGUUAAGUCUGUAUUAAUUUCUUUUCUUGCCUUGUAAACAAGGACUUUUAGUUCAUGGUCUCGUAUCUUCGAAUGGAAGGAGUCCAUAGCCCUUUUAAGUCAUUUGUUUGGUUCCAAAUUGCUCUUUAAUGAAAACAUAUCCAUUAAGUUAACCAGAUCCAGAUGCAAAUGAGACUCUUAAAAUAGAAAAACAGGUGGAAAUAACUUGAAUACAUGCUGAAAAGUGUAUUAAAUAAUAGAUCUACUAAUUUAGAUGACAAACAAAGAGACUCGGGCAAGAUUUCACCUUGUCUGGCAAGGUGGAACCUCUUGUAGCCACUUCUCUUUGGUUUUACAGAGGUUGUAUGCUGAAAAUGGAUGGUUGGUAAACAGGUUUACCUGAGAGAAUCCAUACUACAGCAUUGGGAAUGGUAAUAGAGCUUUUAUACUAGAGAAAAGAUAGUCUUUCUAAGGAAGCAAUAGCUAAAAUGACUAAAUUUGAGUUGAUUUCAGCUUGAAGGGUACAAACUGGCUUGAAAUCAGAGUUUGGAAGUUUGUUUGUUUGAUUGGUUGAGUGUCUUUGUCUCUAUUGUCUCUUCUUCCUUUUAUAGGCGAUUUGGCCCAAGAGUCAGGGCAUUGCUCUUGCCCGAAAGCUCUUGAAGGGUAGUGAGUCAUUAGUUUUUUACUUGUAAUGCCAUUAGAAAGUUUUUUUGGCUGAUAGUAGGUUAGUCUCCAUCACUAGUCACUUUAGUCAUAGACA
Molecule: long non-coding RNA, 1447 nt
Filed under: Malus domestica (apple)
Lineage: Eukaryota; Viridiplantae; Streptophyta; Magnoliopsida; Rosales; Rosaceae
Description: long non-coding RNA (MDOM_LNC011468)
Source: RNAcentral